RNAcentral lists this ribosomal RNA (253 nucleotides) under uncultured bacterium. RNAcentral's name for it is "partial 16S ribosomal RNA". It matches the Rfam family "Bacterial small subunit ribosomal RNA", at positions 524 to 776 of the family's 1533-position model. The record is from RNAcentral.
UACGAAGGGGGCUAGCGUUGUUCGGAAUUACUGGGCGUAAAGCGCACGUAGGCGGAUAUUUAAGCCAGGGGUGAAAUCCCAGAGCUCAACUCUGGAACUGCCUUUGAUACUGGGUAUCUUGAGUAUGGAAGAGGUAAGUGGAAUUCCGAGUGUAGAGGUGAAAUUCGUAGAUAUUCGGAGGAACACCAGUGGCGAAGGCGGCUUACUGGUCCAUUACUGACGCUGAGGUGCGAAAGCGUGGGGAGCAAACAGG